UGGCUCUCGCAUCGAUGAAGAACGCAGCGAAAUGCGAUAAGUAAUGUGAAUUGCAGAAUUCAGUGAAUCAUCGAAUCUUUGAACGCACCUUGCGCUCCUUGGUAUUCCGAGGAGCAUGCCUGUUUGAGUGUCUUGAAGUCAUCAACCCCUCCCGUCUUUUGUUGCGGUGAGGUCGGUUGGAGCUGGGGGCUUGCGGCCGAAGGGCCGCUCCCCUCGAAUGCUUCGGUUGGGCCCGUGGGUCGACUCGGUAGGGCGUUGUAGCAUCCUCGCUCUCGUUCCGAGGCCUUCCUGCGCUCGUGUGCCCUCCCGCGGACCGCCCCCUCGAGCGGCGGUCAAACGCGAACUUUGAAAUCUGACCUCAAAUCAGGUAGGACUACCCGCUGA
RNAcentral lists this unclassified non-coding RNA (384 nucleotides) under uncultured fungus. Its description in RNAcentral is "partial contains 5.8S ribosomal RNA and internal transcribed spacer 2". The stretch from base 1 to 133 matches the Rfam family "5.8S ribosomal RNA", at positions 22 to 154 of the family's 154-position model. The record is from RNAcentral. Lineage: Eukaryota; Fungi.